UAGUCCACGCCCUAAACGAUGGACACUGGCUAUUGCAAGUGUCGACCCUUGCAGUGGCGAAGCUAACGCGUUAAGUGUCCCGCCUGGGAAGUACGGUCGCAAGACUAAAACUCAAAGGAAUAGACGGGGAUCCACACAAGCGGUGGACCACGUGGCUUAAUUCGACAACAAGCGAAGAACCUUACCAGGGCUUGACAUUCCGACAAAACCCUGAUGAAAAUUAGGGCUCCUUACAAGGAUGUCGGAACAGGUGCUGCAUGGUUGUCGUCAGUAGGUGGCUUGAGUUGCUCCCUUAAAUGGGGUAACCUGCGCAACCCCUGCCCUAUGUUUAAUUUGUCAUAGGGGACUGCCUGGGACAACCAGGAGGAAGGUGGGGAUGACGCCAAAUCAGCAUGGCCCUCUGAUGCCCUGGGCUGCACACGUGGUACAAUGGGGCUGACAAAGGGUUGCUAAGACGUAAGUCGGAGCUAAUCCCAUCAAACGGCCUCUCAGUUCGGAUUGAGGUCUGCAACCUGACCUCAUGAAGCUGGAAUCGCUAGUAACUGUGAAUCAGCCACGUCACAGUGAAUAUGUCUCUGGAUCUUGUACUCACCGCCCGUCACUUCAAGCAAGCUGGGAAUAGCCAAAGCC
This 630-nucleotide ribosomal RNA is filed under the name Candidatus Nealsonbacteria bacterium CG_4_10_14_0_2_um_filter_39_15. RNAcentral describes it as "bacterial SSU rRNA". It matches the Rfam family "Bacterial small subunit ribosomal RNA", at positions 791 to 1428 of the family's 1533-position model. The record is from RNAcentral. Lineage: Bacteria; Candidatus Nealsoniibacteriota.